GUUUCCCUACGGGGGGCAGCAGUGAGGAAUAUUGGUCAAUGGCCGAGAGGCUGAACCAGCCACGUCGCGUGAGGGAAGACGGCCCUACGGGUUGUAAACCUCUUUUGUCGGGGAGCAAAGCGAACCACGUGUGGUUCAUUGAGAGUACCCGAAGAAAAAGCAUCGGCUAACUCCGUGCCAGCAGCCGCGGUAAUACGGAGGAUGCGAGCGUUAUCCGGAUUUAUUGGGUUUAAAGGGUGCGUAGGCGGCUUUUUAAGUCAGCGGUAAAAUGUCCGGGCUCAACCCUCGCCGGCCGU
This 296-nucleotide ribosomal RNA is filed under the name uncultured bacterium. RNAcentral's name for it is "partial 16S ribosomal RNA". It matches the Rfam family "Bacterial small subunit ribosomal RNA", at positions 333 to 627 of the family's 1533-position model. The record is from RNAcentral.